This 252-nucleotide ribosomal RNA is filed under the name uncultured bacterium. RNAcentral's name for it is "partial 16S ribosomal RNA". It matches the Rfam family "Bacterial small subunit ribosomal RNA", at positions 524 to 776 of the family's 1533-position model. The record is from RNAcentral.
UACGUGGGGGCAAGCGUUGUCCGGAUUUAUUGGGCGUAAAGAGCGUGUAGGCGGCCAGGUAGGUCUGCUGUGAAAACUCGAGGCUUAACCUCGAGAUGUCGGCGGAAACCAUCUGGCUAGAGUCCGGAAGAGGAGAAUGGAAUUCCCGGUGUAGCGGUGAAAUGCGCAGAUAUCGGGAAGAACACCCGUGGCGAAGGCGGUUCUCUGGGACGGUACUGACGCUGAGACGCGAAAGCGUGGGGAGCGAACAGG